RNAcentral lists this ribosomal RNA (440 nucleotides) under uncultured bacterium. RNAcentral describes it as "bacterial SSU rRNA". It matches the Rfam family "Bacterial small subunit ribosomal RNA", at positions 338 to 795 of the family's 1533-position model. The record is from RNAcentral.
CCUACGGGGGGCAGCAGUGGGGAAUAUUGCACAAUGGGCGAAAGCCUGAUGCAGCAACGCCGCGUGAGCGAUGAAGGUCUUCGGGUCGUAAAGCUCUGUCCUAAGGGAAGAAUAUUGACGGUACCUUAGGAGGAAGCCCCGGCUAACUACGUGCCAGCAGCCGCGGUAAUACGUAGGGGGCUAGCGUUAUCCGGAAUUAAUGGGCGUAAAGGGUUCGUAGGCGGCCCUUCAAGUCAGAGGUCAAAGGCUACGGCUCAACCGUAGUAAGCCUUUGAAACUGUAGGGCUUGAGUGCAGGAGAGGUAAGUGGAAUCACCAGUGUAGCGGUGCAAUGCGUAGAUAUUGGGAGGAACACCAGUUGAGAGGGCGGCUCUCUGGAGUGUAACUGACGCUGAGGAACGAAAGCGUGGGGAGCGAACAGGAUUAGAUACCCUGGUAGUC